Molecule: ribosomal RNA, 539 nt
Filed under: uncultured archaeon
Lineage: Archaea
Description: bacterial SSU rRNA
Rfam family: Archaeal small subunit ribosomal RNA
Source: RNAcentral
UCGCGAAAACUUUGCAAUACACGAAAGUGUGACAGGGUCAUCCCGAGUGCCGACCGCUGAGGUUGGCUUUUACCCAGUCUAGAACGCUGGGGGAAUAAGGAGAGGGCAAGUCUGGUGUCAGCCGCCGCGGUAAUACCAGCUCUCCGAGUGGUGUGGACGUUUAUUGGGCCUAAAGCAUCCGUAGCUGGCUAAACAAGUCCCCUGUUAAACCCACCGAUUUAAUCGAUGGUCUGCGGGGGAUACUGUUCGGCUAGGGGACGAGAGAGGCAGGCGGUAUUCCCGGGGUAGGGGUGAAAUCCUAUAAUCCCGAGAAGACCACCAGUGGCGAAGGCUGCCUGCUAGAACGCGCCCGACGGUGAGGGAUGAAAGCUGGGGGAGCGAACCGGAUUAGAUACCCGGGUAGUCCCAGCUGUAAACGAUGCAGACUAGGUGUUUGGACGGCCACGUGCCGUUCUAGUGCCGCAGGGAAGCUGUUAAGUCUGCCGCCUGGGGAUACGAUCGCAAGAUUGAAACUUAAGGAAUUGGCGGGGGAGCAACCG